This is a long non-coding RNA of Candoia aspera, 1345 nucleotides long. RefSeq lists it as uncharacterized. The record is from RefSeq and is a predicted model, not a curated record. The transcript has 2 exons. NCBI's taxonomy places the organism in Eukaryota, Metazoa, Chordata, Lepidosauria, Squamata, Candoiidae.
AAGACAGACUUAACUUUAAGAAAAGUGAUUGCCCAUCUGAGAGAAGAGUGUGUGGAAAGGAGACAAGAAUCUCCAACCAGAAAUGCAAAGGCCAAUGAUUCAAACUAUAUGUCUAAAUUCUAAUGAGGCACAUAGACAUAAAAACUGCAUUCUUACAUGGCAAAAUCUCAGAGGAGAUUUAUAUGAAACAACCCAAAGGUUUUAUCAAACGAAAUCAAGCCCAUUUAGUAUGCAGACUUCAGAAGGGGCUUUAUGGACUAAAACAAGCCACUAGGGUGUGGAAUGAAAAGUUACACCAUGCUAACAUAGCUGGGGUACACGCAAGGCCAUGCAGACAAGUGUUUAUACACCAAAUGCAAUAAUGGACAAUUUUCUUACAUCCUGGCAUUUGUCGAUGACCUGAUAAUUGCAACUGUAAAUGACAGAAACUACUCCCAAAUAGUAGAACAUCUAAGCAAAUAUGUGGAAGUCAAAGAACUAGGAGAAGUGCAUUAUUAUCUAGGAGUUCAGGUAGAAAGAUGAGAGGAUGGUUCUUCUAAGCCAAAAGCAGAAGGUCACUGAAUUGGUUGAGAGUCUGCAGAUGCAAGAAGCGCACCCAGUUGCCACACCUAUGGCUACUGAUUUUCUAAAGAAUUAAGAGGAAUCAGAGCUUUUACCUGACAACAAAUACAGGUCAGCAAUAGGGAAACUUUUGUGCCUAACCACAAUGUGUAGGCGAGACAUAGUGAAUGCAGUGGGGUUUCUGAGCAGAAAAGUGAAUGCUCCUACUGAACGUGACUGGACAGCUGUUAAGAGAGUUGUCAGGUAUCUAAGAAGUACUGCAAACUGUAAAUUAAAGUUGCCAGCUGACAGCGAUCUUGAACUGGUAGGUUACAUGGACGCUGAUUGGGCUGGGGAUGCAAAAGACUAUAAAACCACAGGUGGUUAUGUCUUCAUGCUUGCAAAUGGUCCCAUUUCUUGGGGCAGUUAUAAACAAAAUUGUAUAGUUUUGUCUUCUACAGAGUCCGAAUACAUUGCAGCUACAGAAGCUUGCAGAGAAAUAGCCUGGCUCGACCAACUGACCGAAGACUUUGGGUUAGUGCACGAGAAGCCUGUUCAUCUCAUGGAGGACAACCAGAGUUGCCUAAAGUUGUCACAGAGUUCCAUGCAAGAACAAAGCACAUUGGGGUGAAGUACCACUUCGUGCGUGAGGCCAUCCAGGAUGGACUUGUGGACUUGACUUAUUGCCAUACCAAAGAGAUGACUGCAGACAUUCUCACCAAGCCUCUACCAAGAGACAGUUUUCAGAACCUUCGAGUCAAAACGGGACUCUGGGUGGUUUAAUUAAAAUUUGCAUGAACUUGUU